RNAcentral lists this ribosomal RNA (253 nucleotides) under uncultured bacterium. Its description in RNAcentral is "partial 16S ribosomal RNA". It matches the Rfam family "Bacterial small subunit ribosomal RNA", at positions 524 to 776 of the family's 1533-position model. The record is from RNAcentral.
UACGUAGGGUGCAAGCGUUAAUCGGAAUUACUGGGCGUAAAGCGUGCGCAGGCGGUGAUGUAAGCCAGAUGUGAAAUCCCCGGGCUUAACCUGGGAAUGGCAUUUGGGACUGCAAGGCUGGAGUGUGGCAGAGGAGACUGGAAUUCCUGGUGUAGCAGUGAAAUGCGUAGAUAUCAGGAGGAAUACCGAUGGCGAAGGCAGGUCUCUGGGCUGACACUGACGCUCAUGCACGAAAGCGUGGGGAGCAAACAGG